Molecule: long non-coding RNA, 1181 nt
Filed under: Panax ginseng (ginseng)
Lineage: Eukaryota; Viridiplantae; Streptophyta; Magnoliopsida; Apiales; Araliaceae
Description: long non-coding RNA (PGIN_LNC011740)
Source: RNAcentral
CCAUAAUUAAUAACUCAAAUUCAAAUAUUUGGGAUCUAACAACAAAAACAAAUCUAUAAUUCAAAAUUCAAAUCAAAAAGAGGAAAAACAAAAAAAGUAUUUUCUCGUCAUCUUGCUCCCUCGUCAUCUUCCUCCUCCGCCGCCACGCCCGUAGUUUUCGUUGCGCCCAGUUAUUAACAUGCCUCUCUGUCUUUCUCUCUCUCUUCAUCGCCCAAAUUAUAUUGGUCAGUCAGUGGCCACUGUCUGGUAAAAAUAGAGACCUUUGAUACAAUCAAUAAUCAGUACUACAACUUAAUUUAUUCUUUAAGAAGAGAAGAUAGGAGGAGUAAUACUACUACUACUAGUUGUUUUCUUUCUUCGAAUAAUGGGCUCAGUAUCCACAUAAACAGUUGCAGCGCGGGCGAUGUAAACGAGGGGAUAGGAGGAGGGAAUUACAAGGAACAUACUUAGCUGCACGAGCGAGCCUGGUUUUCUGGUUGUUCAGCCUUUUGAUUCUACAAAAUAUAAAAAGAACCGAGAAGUAGGGAAUUAGAACUGAGAACUAAUUUUUUUUUUUUACGAUUUGGUUACCCAUAAAAAUAAAAUGGUUACAUUUGUAUGAAGGUUUGGUUACCAACUGCAUCACAUUCAAAAUAAAUUGGUAACCUAAUAAAACUGAAUUGGUUACCUUGGUCUCAAGGUUUGACAACCAACUACACUAUGAAAAAAUUGCAGGUGUGGAAGUGGAUUGGUUACCUUUGUACGAGGGUUUAGUUACUUUGGUAUGAAAGUUUGGUCAUCAACUGCACUAUGAAGGUAACCUAAUAAAAUUGAAUUGGUAACUUAAUAAAACUGAAUUGGUUACCUUGGUAUGAAAGUUUGGGUACCUUGGUAUGAAGGUUUGGUUACCAACUACACUAUGAAGGUAACCUAAUAAAACUGAAUUGGUUACCUUGGUAUGAAGGUUUGACUACCAAUUGCAUGAAAGUUUAGCUAUCAACUGCAUCAUAUUCAAAAUAAAUUGCUAACCUAAUAAAACUGAAUUGGUUACCUUUGUACGAAGGUUUGAUUACCAACUGCACUAUGAAAAAACUGCUGGUGUGGAUGUGAAUUGGUUACCUUGGUAUGAAGGUUUGGUUACUUUGGUAUGAAGGUUUGAUUACCAACUGCAUUAUGAAAAAACUGUAGGCGUGGAGGUGGAU